UCCAUGCCAGCCCCUGCCCACCCUGCCAGGGAACAAUUCCUUCCCAAGAUCCCAUCCAGCCCUGCCCCGGUGGGACAAACCCAGAGCACAAGGAGCCGGCGGAGCUCAGGAGCAGCAGCGCCGGGGUUGGAGCCGAUCAUACGCCGAGCGGAUGCUCCCGCUGGCUGGGCCGGACCAGCCGCACCGGUGGCCGGAGGGACGGAAUGUGACCACGGCCGCGUCCAGGCUGCAGCUCCCCCGGCGACAGCCUGAGCUGCUCGUUUAUUUCUGAUACCGCGGUGACAUCCCCAGCGCGGGGCUGUGAGAACGGGGGAGGCUCCUGAGCAGCUGCUGUCCCCGGGGAGCCGCGGGGACACGACCCGGGCACCCUGCGCAGGGAGAAGCCUCUUCCAGCAGAUUCCUUUCCGUGCCCUCGGAAACAUCCAGCUCAACGAAGCACCUUCCCCAACACCUCCUCAGCCUUUACCUCCUGGAAAAAGGAAUUUCUGCUCCUUUCCCAGCCCCGGCAGCCGCGCUGGCAGCGGGGGAUGCGCAGCCGAGCCACGCUCGCCCCGGUCCCCGCGCCCGCGGGCGCUGCUCGCCGUCAGCUGAGCCUCGCUCAUGCAGCCCCAGAUGGUUGGGCGUGGGUGGGAAGGCACCCCCAGCACCCCCAGCACCCUGCCCGGGGCUGCAGCAGGGGACAGCAGGAGGCUGGGACACCGAGAGUGUCACUCAGACAUCGGUGUCCUCGGGACUCGCCCGGGCUGGGCCCAGCAGCGGAGGUUUGGGGCUCUGGUGGUGUCUCACACUCAAAUCUGUGUUUGCAGCGCUUCCAGCAAUUUGGCAAAGAGUUCUCCUCCCCCGAAAUCCGGGAGGAAAAGCGAUGUGGCACCGAGGGAGAGGGGCAAAGCUGUCACCAGCGGCUUCCAGGUCACCCCAGGAAGGAUCCUGGGCACCUCUGCAGUGGGGUCAGGGGGCAGGAGCUCGGGGCAUCCCUGCCAGGGGAGAACCAACACUCGGCUCUCCUCAAUUCCCAGCUGUUUCCACCAGAAGCAACAAAAUGAAGCUUGUAAAUCCUCCAGCCCUUAAAUCCCGCAAAUCCAGGCUGCAGCCUUGCAGGAGCAGCGACUGCAGUGGCACCAAGGUCCGUCCUCCCGUGCCCAGGAGGGCACAGCCCGGAGAUUUCCCUCCGCAGAGCCCCGGUGAGGAUGUCAGGGCACAAAGGGACGUUUGUUGACAGAAACGCACAGGGAUCAAUCUGCAUUCGUGCCCCACCCCACUGCGUUGGUCUCCAAAUGCUUCUGCAGGGCUGGAAGGAGAUGAGCUUUAAAGUCCCUUCUAACCCAAACCA
This is a long non-coding RNA of Corvus hawaiiensis (hawaiian crow), 1330 nucleotides long. RefSeq lists it as uncharacterized. NCBI's taxonomy places the organism in Eukaryota, Metazoa, Chordata, Aves, Passeriformes, Corvidae. The transcript is spliced from 2 exons. The record is from RefSeq and is a predicted model, not a curated record.